AUCAUGGCUCAGAUUGAACGCUGGCGGCAGGCUUAACACAUGCAAGUCGAGCGGGGGAAGGUAGCUUGCUACUGGACCUAGCGGCGGACGGGUGAGUAAUGCUUAGGAAUCUGCCUAUUAGUGGGGGGCAACAUCUCGAAAGGGAUGCUAAUACCGCAUACGUCCUACGGGAGAAAGCAGGGGAUCUUCGGACCUUGCGCUAAUAGAUGAGCCUAAGUCGGAUUAGCUAGUUGGUGGGGUAAAGGCCUACCAAGG
This 255-nucleotide ribosomal RNA is filed under the name Acinetobacter baumannii. Its description in RNAcentral is "partial 16S ribosomal RNA". It matches the Rfam family "Bacterial small subunit ribosomal RNA", at positions 16 to 273 of the family's 1533-position model. The record is from RNAcentral. Lineage: Bacteria; Pseudomonadati; Pseudomonadota; Gammaproteobacteria; Moraxellales; Moraxellaceae.